AUGCUGAAAGCUCUAAAGCUACCCCCUGCAACUUACCAGCACAAAAUAUACCCAGGCGGAAAGAAUCGUGUAACAGUGACUAUCAUUUCAACUUUGGAAUUCCUAGAUGGUUCACUUGUCCCGAGUUCUAUACCAGGUGCAAUCUUAGAUAGCUAUGAAGAUGCAGAAGACAGUGCUGCUAUGGAGGCUAUUAGAUACAUGGAGAAUGCAUAUGGCAAAGAAAUGAGGGGCAACCACUACACCCAUGUCAAGAGGCUAGAAAAUCAAGUGACGCACCUGGUCAAAUGGUUAACUUCAUCGAAUGAGACAAUCAAGAAGCUGCGCAAAACAUGCUACUACGCUGUCAGGUAUAUGAACUCGUAUUCUGCCCAAAUAGAAAACACAACAGCUGCUCGCCACCUGAAAGUUCAGGAUAACACCAAGGGAGUUAUGAAAACAGCUCUUGCAAGCAUCGAAGGACUGACGCAAAGGCUACGCUACAUUGCUAUGAAGUUUGAGCAGCCCCUUGAAGCAACCAGAAACAGAUUCUGGUAA
This 534-nucleotide ribosomal RNA is filed under the name Triticum aestivum (bread wheat). RNAcentral describes it as "partial small subunit ribosomal RNA". The record is from RNAcentral. Lineage: Eukaryota; Viridiplantae; Streptophyta; Magnoliopsida; Poales; Poaceae.